AACGAACGCUGGCGGCAUGCCUAACACAUGCAAGUCGAACGAGACCUUCGGGUCUUGUGGCGCACGGGUGCGUAACGCGUGGGAACCUGCCCUUAGGUUCGGAAUAACUCCCCGAAAGGGGUGCUAAUACCGGAUAAUGUCUUCGGACCAAAGAUUUAUCGCCUUUGGAUGGGCCCGCGUUGGAUUCGCUUGUUGGUAGGGUAAAAGCCUACCAAGGCGACGAUCCAUAGCUGGUCUGAGAGGAUGAUCAGCAACACUGGGACUGAGACACGGCCCAGACUCCUACGGGAGGCAGCAGUGGGGAAUAUUGGAAAAUGGGCGAAAGCCUGAUCCAGCAAUGCCGCGUGAGUGAUGAAGGCCUUAGGGUUGUAAAGCUCUUUUACCCGGGAUGAUAAUGACAGUACCGGGAGAAUAAGCUCCGGCUAACUCCGUG
This 433-nucleotide ribosomal RNA is filed under the name uncultured bacterium. RNAcentral's name for it is "partial 16S ribosomal RNA". It matches the Rfam family "Bacterial small subunit ribosomal RNA", at positions 29 to 507 of the family's 1533-position model. The record is from RNAcentral.